CUUCAGAUGUGUUUAGGUAAUCCUUGCCUCAUAUAUACCAUCAUUAUUGAUCAUAUAUGGUACCUGUUUUCUUGAUUGGAAAGUGGACCAUUGAGGUAUUAACAAUUCAUUUCCUCCUUUUCUUCUUUAUUCCUAUUCCUUGGCCUCUGAGGAUAAUUACUAUCCUCAAUUUUAUUUUAAAAUAUUUUAUAUUAACCUAUGUGAAAAGACCAUGUUUUUUAAUUUUCUUUGUUGCAGAGCUCUAUGGCAUACUUUAAUAUAGUAGGCACUCUUCUAUGAUUUGAUUCUUACAUUUGACAUUGUUACAGUUACUUCUUAUACCAUAGUUUACAUGUUUUCAUUAUUGGAUAGUAUUUCACAGAAUAUGGUAUAAUAAUCUUUUCCUUAAAACAGUUGUUACCCCAUUAUGAAAUUUGAAUCAAAGAGAGUGACCCUAGCUAAGACUAAUAGUAUUGGGGGAUAUGGAGCCUCAAUCGGCCAUCUUAUAUAACCAGGCAAGACUUCCAAUUGAGGGACUGGGACACCAACCAGCCACAGAACCUUUAAUCUAUAAUUUGUCCUGCCUACAAGAUAUACUGAUGUAAAGGUGGUGUAGAAAUCCAGCUUGAGACCCAUGCCAUGAGAAGGGCUUACCCUUGACACUGCCCAGAGGGUCAGGAGCCAGAGGCUAGAUAGCCCAGAGACUGAUGCUAGAACCAAACAUAAAUGUCAGAAAGAUAAUAUAAUAAAGUGUCAAUGAAAAUAUUCUAAUAAUAAUUCUGCUAUACUCAGCAAUUGGCAUCUAGCCCA
This 789-nucleotide long non-coding RNA is filed under the name Rattus norvegicus (Norway rat). Its description in RNAcentral is "long non-coding RNA NONRATT022491". Lineage: Eukaryota; Metazoa; Chordata; Mammalia; Rodentia; Muridae. The record is from RNAcentral.